UGUUCUGGAAACCAUGGGCCGGGUAAGUCUGGAUAUGAUGUCCGUGCAAGCUAACACGGGUCCUCCCUGGGAAAGCAAAAAUUCCACUGCCGUCUGGAGAGGGCGAGACAGCCGCAAAGAGAGACUCGAGCUGGUUAAACUCAGUAGAAAAUACCCGGAACUCAUAGACGCUGCUUUCACCAACUUUUUCUUCUUUAAACACGAUGAAAACCUGUAUGGUCCCAUUGUGAAACACAUUUCAUUUUUUGAUUUCUUCAAGGCCAAAAAGAUAGCAAAAGCAGGACAAGAAUUUGCAAGAAAUAAUCUCAUGGGCGAUGACAUAUUCUGUUAUUAUUUCAAACUUUUCCAGGAAUAUGCCAAUUUACAAGUGAGUGAGCCCCAAAUCCGAGAGGGCAUGAAAAGGGUAGAACCACAGACUGAGGACGACCUCUUCCCUUGUACUUGCCAUAGGAAAAAGACCAAAGAUGAACUCUGAUAUGCAAAAUAACUUCUAUUAGAAUAAUGGUGCUCUGAAGACUCUUCUUAACUAAAAAGAAGAAUUUUUUUAAGUAUUAAUUCCAUGGACAAUAUAAAAUCUGUGUGAUUGCAGUAUGAAGACACGUUUCUACUUAUGCAGUAUUCUCAUGACUGUACUUUAAAGUACAUUUUUAGAAUUUUAUAAUAAAACCACCUUUAUUUU
RNAcentral lists this small RNA (679 nucleotides) under Pan troglodytes (chimpanzee). RNAcentral's name for it is "processed transcript". The record is from RNAcentral. Lineage: Eukaryota; Metazoa; Chordata; Mammalia; Primates; Hominidae.